Molecule: ribosomal RNA, 408 nt
Filed under: uncultured bacterium
Lineage: Bacteria
Description: bacterial SSU rRNA
Rfam family: Bacterial small subunit ribosomal RNA
Source: RNAcentral
UCGAGGAUCUUCGGCAAUGGGCGAAAGCCUGACCGAGCGACGCCGCGUGUGCGAUGAAGGCCUUCGGAUUGUAAAGCACUGUCGUGGGGGAGAAAGGGAAACUUGAUCGACCCCAGGAGGAAGCUCGGGCUAAGUUCGUGCCAGCAGCCGCGGUAAGACGAACCGAGCGAACGUUGUUCGGAAUCACUGGGCUUAAAGGGCGCGUAGGCGGGCGGUCAAGUCAGGGGUGAAAGCCUCCAGCUCAACUGGAGAAGUGCCUCUGAUACUGAUCGUCUCGAGGGGGAUAGGGGCGUGCGGAACUUCCGGUGGAGCGGUGAAAUGCGUAGAUAUCGGAAGGAACACCGGUGGCGAAAGCGGCGCGCUGGAUCCCUUCUGACGCUGAGGCGCGAAAGCCAGGGGAGCAAACGG